UAGGGAAUUUUCCACAAUGGCACGAAAGUCUGAUGGAGCAACGCCGCGUGAACGAUGAAGGUCUUCGGAUUGUAAAGUUCUGUUGUUAGGGACGAACAAGUACCGUUCGAAUAGGGCGGUACCUUGACGGUACCUGACGAGCAAAGCCACGGCUAACUACGUG
Molecule: ribosomal RNA, 163 nt
Filed under: bacterium enrichment culture
Lineage: Bacteria
Description: partial 16S ribosomal RNA
Rfam family: Bacterial small subunit ribosomal RNA
Source: RNAcentral